GUCUUUGUGGUUCUAGGGAUUGAACCCAGAGCCUCACAACACACAGGAACUAUUUCAUCACUGAGUCAAACUCACAGCCUAUACUUCCAAAGACUUUGUCAUCGAGAAUAUCAGACAAAGAGUUCCAGCUCACUGUGUGGAGGCAGCUGUGGCGGAGAUUUGGAAUCAGGCGAAAAUUUAGAAGACCAAAAUUGAUGGUCCAAGCGGCUGGGCUGUAUUUAUCCGGUUGGAGCAUCCCUUGGCAGGCGAUGUUGGACCGUCCCCCUACCUCCACAGACACAUCAGUGCUCAUUUGA
RNAcentral lists this long non-coding RNA (296 nucleotides) under Meriones unguiculatus (Mongolian gerbil). RNAcentral describes it as "lncRNA (ENSMUGG00000017818.1)". The record is from RNAcentral. Lineage: Eukaryota; Metazoa; Chordata; Mammalia; Rodentia; Muridae.